ACUCUAUAUGGUAGAUUUAGUACUCUCACAGGGAAUCGAGUGCUGGACACAGACAGGCCCAUGCUGCGAAGUCACUCGAUCAGCAGGUUAUGACAUAGCCUACAUAGCCCACACGAAGGUAAAUCCAUCAGGGAUGUGACAUCUGAACCAUAUAUAUGGCUAAACCUCCUAGGGACACCAGCACUUGGAGGCAUAUAUGAUAAGACACUCACAAACAGCUAACACUUUCUACAUUAUGAGUAGGCUAGAGCUUGAGAGAUCUAGAGGACUAUAAGACCAUUCAUGCCAGGUCUGAUGUCUUCAAGGCCUGAGAACUUUUAUGUAUAUAAUUCGGUUUCCUAGCACGGACUAGCGCCCCGCACACAGUAGAC
RNAcentral lists this small RNA (371 nucleotides) under Histoplasma capsulatum. RNAcentral's name for it is "hypothetical RNA". RNAcentral also lists the same sequence under 1 other name. Lineage: Eukaryota; Fungi; Ascomycota; Eurotiomycetes; Onygenales; Ajellomycetaceae. The record is from RNAcentral.